Unclassified non-coding RNA from Pongo abelii (Sumatran orangutan), 148 nucleotides. It matches the Rfam family "Metazoan signal recognition particle RNA". Rfam says of the family: The signal recognition particle (SRP) is a universally conserved ribonucleoprotein. NCBI's taxonomy places the organism in Eukaryota, Metazoa, Chordata, Mammalia, Primates, Hominidae. The record is from Ensembl.
GCUGGGUGUGGUGGUGCGCACCUGUAAUCCCAGCUACUCAGGAGGCUGAGGCAGGAGAAUCGCUUGAACCUGGGAGGCAGAGGUUGCAGUGAGCCGAGAUCGUGCCAUUGCACUCUAGCCUGGGCAACAGAGUGAGACUCUGUCUCAA